GACGAACGCUGGCGGCGCGCCUAACACAUGCAAGUCGAACGAGCGAGAGAGAGCUUGCUUUCUUGAGCGAGUGGCGAACGGGUGAGUAACGCGUGAGGAACCUGCCUCAAAGAGGGGGACAACAGUUGGAAACGACUGCUAAUACCGCAUAAGCCCACGGUGCCGCAUGGCACAGAGGGAAAAGGAGCAAUCCGCUUUGAGAUGGCCUCGCGUCCGAUUAGCUAGUUGGUGAGGUAACGGCCCACCAAGGCGACGAUCGGUAGCCGGACUGAGAGGUUGAACGGCCACAUUGGGACUGAGACACGGCCCAGACUCCUACGGGAGGCAGCAGUGGGGAAUAUUGCACAAUGGGGGAAACACUGAUGCAGCGACGCCGCGUGGAGGAAGAAGGUCUUCGGAUUGUAAACUCCUGUUGUUGGGGAAGAUAAUGACGGUACCCAACAAGGAAGUGACGGCUAACUACGUG
RNAcentral lists this ribosomal RNA (466 nucleotides) under uncultured bacterium. RNAcentral's name for it is "partial 16S ribosomal RNA". It matches the Rfam family "Bacterial small subunit ribosomal RNA", at positions 28 to 507 of the family's 1533-position model. The record is from RNAcentral.